GCCGCUAUAGCUCAGUUUGGUAGAGCGUCGCUCUCGUAAAGCGAAGGCCCCGUGUUCGAACCCCGGUGGUGGCA
This is a non-coding RNA of Coelomomyces lativittatus, 74 nucleotides long. NCBI's taxonomy places the organism in Eukaryota, Fungi, Blastocladiomycota, Blastocladiomycetes, Blastocladiales, Coelomomycetaceae. The record is from the annotation of a GenBank genome assembly.